GGGGAAUUUUGGACAAUGGGGGCAACCCUGAUCCAGCCAUGCCGGGUGAGUGAAGAAGGCCUUCGGGUUGUAAAGCUCUUUCGGACGGAAAGAAAUCGCCGCCUCUAACAUAGGCGGUGGAUGACGGUACCGUAAGAAGAAGCACCGGCUAACUACGUGCCAGCAGCCGCGGUAAUACGUAGGGUGCGAGCGUUAAUCGGAAUUACUGGGCGUAAAGCGUGCGCAGGCGGUUUGGUAAGACAGGUGUGAAAUCCCCGGGCUUAACCUGGGAACUGCGCUUGUGACUGCCAGGCUAGAGUACGGCAGAGGGGGGUGGAAUUCCACGUGUAGCAGUGAAAUGCGUAGAGAUGUGGAGGAACACCGAUGGCGACCUGCUGGAACAUUACUUACGCUGAGGUGCGAAAGCGUGGGGAGCAAACA
Molecule: ribosomal RNA, 420 nt
Filed under: uncultured beta proteobacterium
Lineage: Bacteria; Pseudomonadati; Pseudomonadota; Betaproteobacteria
Description: bacterial SSU rRNA
Rfam family: Bacterial small subunit ribosomal RNA
Source: RNAcentral